UGCUUGCACUGGUCAAUCUAGUGGCGAACGGGUGAGUAACACGUGGGUAACCUGCCCAUCAGAGGGGGAUAACAUUCGGAAACGGAUGCUAAAACCGCAUAGGUCUUCGAACCGCAUGGUUUGAAGAGGAAAAGAGGCGCAAGCUUCUGCUGAUGGAUGGACCCGCGGUGCAUUAGCUAGUUGGUGAGGUAACGGCUCACCAAGGCCGUGAUGCAUAGCCGACCUGAGAGGGUGAUCGGCCACAUUGGGACUGAGACACGGCCCAAACUCCUACGGGAGGCAGCAGUAGGGAAUCUUCCGCAAUGGACGCAAGUCUGACGGAGCAACGCCGCGUGAGUGAAGAAGGUUUUCGGACCGUAAAACUCUGUUGUUAGAGAAGAACAAGUGCUAGAGUAACUGUUAGCACCUUGACGGUAUCUAACCAGAAAGCCACGGCUAACUACGUGCCAGCAGCCGCGGUAAUACGUAGGUGGCAAGCGUUGUCCGGAUUUAUUGGGCGUAAAGCGAGCGCAGGCGGUUCCUUAAGUCUGAUGUGAAAGCCCCCGGCUCAACCGGGGAGGGUCAUUGGAAACUGGGGAACUUGAGUGCAGAAGAGGAGAGUGGAAUUCCAUGUGUAGCGGUGAAAUGCGUAGAUAUAUGGAGGAACACCAGUGGCGAAGGCGACUCUCUGGUCUGUAACUGACGCUGAGGCUCGAAAGCGUGGGUAGCAAACAGGAUUAGAUACCCUGGUAGUCCACGCCGUAAACGAUGAGUGCUAAGUGUUGGAGGGUUUCCGCCCUUCAGUGCUGCAGUUAACGCAUUAAGCACUCCGCCUGGGAGUACG
Molecule: ribosomal RNA, 823 nt
Filed under: uncultured Granulicatella sp.
Lineage: Bacteria; Bacillati; Bacillota; Bacilli; Lactobacillales; Carnobacteriaceae
Description: bacterial SSU rRNA
Rfam family: Bacterial small subunit ribosomal RNA
Source: RNAcentral